Molecule: ribosomal RNA, 253 nt
Filed under: uncultured bacterium
Lineage: Bacteria
Description: partial 16S ribosomal RNA
Rfam family: Bacterial small subunit ribosomal RNA
Source: RNAcentral
UACGAGUGGUGCAAGCGUUAUUCGGAAUUAUUGGGCGUAAAGGGUGCGUAGGCGGCAUAUUAAGUCAAUCGUUAAAUUCCUCGGCCUAACCGAGGGCAUGCGGUAGAAACUGAUGUGCUAGAGGAUGGAAGAGAGAAGUGGAAUUCUCGGAGUAGCGGUAAAAUGCGUAGAUCUCGAGAGGAACACCGAUGGCGAAGGCAGCUUCUUGGUCCAUAUCUGACGCUGAGGCACGAAAGCGUGGGGAGCAAACAGG